Long non-coding RNA from Harpegnathos saltator (Jerdon's jumping ant), 96 nucleotides. RefSeq lists it as uncharacterized. The transcript has 2 exons. Lineage: Eukaryota; Metazoa; Arthropoda; Insecta; Hymenoptera; Formicidae. The record is from RefSeq and is a predicted model, not a curated record.
CGCCAUUCUUAAUUAGAGCAAAGAAGAAUUAAUCAGAAACAAUUUUUGGGGCUGUUCGUUUUCGUCCACGAGGUGACUGCUGCUCGCUAAGAAGAA